Molecule: ribosomal RNA, 1449 nt
Filed under: Salmonella enterica
Lineage: Bacteria; Pseudomonadati; Pseudomonadota; Gammaproteobacteria; Enterobacterales; Enterobacteriaceae
Also listed under: 5 other names
Description: bacterial SSU rRNA
Rfam family: Bacterial small subunit ribosomal RNA
Source: RNAcentral
GCUGACGAGUGGCGGACGGGUGAGUAAUGUCUGGGAAACUGCCUGAUGGAGGGGGAUAACUACUGGAAACGGUGGCUAAUACCGCAUAACGUCGCAAGACCAAAGAGGGGGACCUUCGGGCCUCUUGCCAUCAGAUGUGCCCAGAUGGGAUUAGCUUGUUGGUGAGGUAACGGCUCACCAAGGCGACGAUCCCUAGCUGGUCUGAGAGGAUGACCAGCCACACUGGAACUGAGACACGGUCCAGACUCCUACGGGAGGCAGCAGUGGGGAAUAUUGCACAAUGGGCGCAAGCCUGAUGCAGCCAUGCCGCGUGUAUGAAGAAGGCCUUCGGGUUGUAAAGUACUUUCAGCGGGGAGGAAGGUGUUGUGGUUAAUAACCGCAGCAAUUGACGUUACCCGCAGAAGAAGCACCGGCUAACUCCGUGCCAGCAGCCGCGGUAAUACGGAGGGUGCAAGCGUUAAUCGGAAUUACUGGGCGUAAAGCGCACGCAGGCGGUCUGUCAAGUCGGAUGUGAAAUCCCCGGGCUCAACCUGGGAACUGCAUUCGAAACUGGCAGGCUUGAGUCUUGUAGAGGGGGGUAGAAUUCCAGGUGUAGCGGUGAAAUGCGUAGAGAUCUGGAGGAAUACCGGUGGCGAAGGCGGCCCCCUGGACAAAGACUGACGCUCAGGUGCGAAAGCGUGGGGAGCAAACAGGAUUAGAUACCCUGGUAGUCCACGCCGUAAACGAUGUCUACUUGGAGGUUGUGCCCUUGAGGCGUGGCUUCCGGAGCUAACGCGUUAAGUAGACCGCCUGGGGAGUACGGCCGCAAGGUUAAAACUCAAAUGAAUUGACGGGGGCCCGCACAAGCGGUGGAGCAUGUGGUUUAAUUCGAUGCAACGCGAAGAACCUUACCUGGUCUUGACAUCCACAGAACUUUCCAGAGAUGGAUUGGUGCCUUCGGGAACUGUGAGACAGGUGCUGCAUGGCUGUCGUCAGCUCGUGUUGUGAAAUGUUGGGUUAAGUCCCGCAACGAGCGCAACCCUUAUCCUUUGUUGCCAGCGGUCCGGCCGGGAACUCAAAGGAGACUGCCAGUGAUAAACUGGAGGAAGGUGGGGAUGACGUCAAGUCAUCAUGGCCCUUACGACCAGGGCUACACACGUGCUACAAUGGCGCAUACAAAGAGAAGCGACCUCGCGAGAGCAAGCGGACCUCAUAAAGUGCGUCGUAGUCCGGAUUGGAGUCUGCAACUCGACUCCAUGAAGUCGGAAUCGCUAGUAAUCGUGGAUCAGAAUGCCACGGUGAAUACGUUCCCGGGCCUUGUACACACCGCCCGUCACACCAUGGGAGUGGGUUGCAAAAGAAGUAGGUAGCUUAACCUUCGGGAGGGCGCUUACCACUUUGUGAUUCAUGACUGGGGUGAAGUCGUAACAAGGUAACCGUAGGGGAACCUGCGGUUGGAUCACCUCCUUA